GGUUGUGGCUCAGUGGUAGACUGCUUGCCUAGCAUAUGUGAGCCCCUGGGUUCAAUUCUCAGCACCA
This 67-nucleotide transfer RNA is filed under the name Marmota monax (woodchuck). Its description in RNAcentral is "tRNA.Ala". Lineage: Eukaryota; Metazoa; Chordata; Mammalia; Rodentia; Sciuridae. The record is from RNAcentral.